GGACUACUGGGGUAUCUAAUCCUGUUUGAUCCCCACGCUUUCGUGCCUCAGCGUCAAUAAUUGUGUAGCAGGCUGCCUUCGCAAUUGGUGUUCUAUGUCAUAUCUAAGCAUUUCACCGCUACAUGACAUAUUCCGCUCACCUCCACAAUAUUCAAGAUAAAUAGUAUCCAUGGCAGUUCCCAAGUUAAGCUUGGGGAUUUCACCACAGACUUACCUACCCGCCUACGCACCCUUUAAACCCAGUGAAUCCGGAUAACGCUUGCACCCUCCGUAUUACCGCGGCUGCUGGCAC
Molecule: ribosomal RNA, 292 nt
Filed under: uncultured Bacteroidota bacterium
Lineage: Bacteria; Pseudomonadati; Bacteroidota
Description: uncultured Bacteroidetes bacterium partial 16S ribosomal RNA
Source: RNAcentral